UUCCAGAGGAAGGCUCGUCCGCUCUGGGGUAGUCGGGUCCUAAGCUGAGGCCGACAGGCGUAGGCGAUGGAUAACAGGAUGAUAUUCCUGUACCACCUAUAAUCGUUUUAAUCGAUGGGGGGACGCAGUAGGAUAGGCGAAGCGUGCGAUUGGAUUGCACGUCUAAGCAGUAAGGCUGAGUAUUAGGCAAAUCCGGUACUCGUUAAGGCUGAGCUGUGAUGGGGAGAAGACAUUGUGUCUUCGAGUCGUUGAUUUCACACUGCCGAGAAAAGCCUCUAGAUAGAAAAUAGGUGCCCGUACCGCAAACCGACACAGGUAGUCAAGAUGAGAAUUCUAAGGUGAGCGAACGAACUCUCGUUAAGGAACUCGGCAAAAUGACCCCGUAACUUCGGGAGAAGGGGUGCUCUUUAGGGUUAACGCCCAGAAGAGCCGCAGUGAAUAGGCCCAAGCGACUGUUUAUCAAAAACACAGGUCUCUGCUAAACCGUAAGGUGAUGUAUAGGGGCUGACGCCUGCCCGGUGCUGGAAGGUUAAGAGGAGUGGUUAGCUUCUGCGAAGCUACGAAUCGAAGCCCCAGUAAACGGCGGCCGUAACUAUAACGGUCCUAAGGUAGCGAAAUUCCUUGUCGGGUAAGUUCCGACCCGCACGAAAGGCGUAACGAUUUGGGCACUGUCUCAACGAGAGACUCGGUGAAAUCAUAGUACCUGUGAAGAUGCAGGUUACCCGCGACAGGACGGAAAGACCCCGUGGAGCUUUACUGUAGCCUGAUAUUGAAAUUCGGCACAGCUUGUACAGGAUAGGUAGGAGCCUUUGAAACGUGAGCGCUAGCUUACGUGGAGGCGCUGGUGGGAUACUACCCUAGCUGUGUUGGCUUUCUAACCCGCACCACUUAUCGUGGUGGGAGACAGUGUCAGGCGGGCAGUUUGACUGGGGCGGUCGCCUCCUAAAAGGUAACGGAGGCGCUCAAAGGUUCCCUCAGAAUGGUUGGAAAUCAUUCAUAGAGUGUAAAGGCAUAAGGGAGCUUGACUGCGAGACCUACAAGUCGAGCAGGGUCGAAAGACGGACUUAGUGAUCCGGUGGUUCCGCAUGGAAGGGCCAUCGCUCAACGGAUAAAAGCUACCCCGGGGAUAACAGGCUUAUCUCCCCCAAGAGUUCACAUCGACGGGGAGGUUUGGCACCUCGAUGUCGGCUCAUCGCAUCCUGGGGCUGUAGUCGGUCCCAAGGGUUGGGCUGUUCGCCCAUUAAAGCGGUACGCGAGCUGGGUUCAGAACGUCGUGAGACAGUUCGGUCCCUAUCCGUCGUGGGCGUAGGAAAUUUGAGAGGAGCUGUCCUUAGUACGAGAGGACCGGGAUGGACAUACCUCUGGUGUACCAGUUGUCGUGCCAACGGCAUAGCUGGGUAGCUAUGUGUGGACGGGAUAAGUGCUGAAAGCAUCUAAGCAUGAAGCCCCCCUCAAGAUGAGAUUUCCCAACUUCGGUUAUAAGAUCCCUCAAAGAUGAUGAGGUUAAUAGGUUCGAGGUGGAAGCAUGGUGACAUGUGGAGCUGACGAAUACUAAUCGAUCGAAGACUUAAUCAA
This 1575-nucleotide ribosomal RNA is filed under the name Staphylococcus aureus. Its description in RNAcentral is "23S ribosomal RNA". It matches the Rfam family "Bacterial large subunit ribosomal RNA", at positions 1352 to 2925 of the family's 2925-position model. Lineage: Bacteria; Bacillati; Bacillota; Bacilli; Caryophanales; Staphylococcaceae. The record is from RNAcentral.